CACGAACCGUGCGAACGUUAUUCGGAAUUACUGGGCUUAAAGAGUUCGUAGGCGGCGUGUUAAGUUGGGUGUGAAAUCCCUUGGCUCAACCAAGGAAUUGCGCUCAAAACUAGCAUGCUUGAGGAAGACAGGGGUAAGCGGAACUGAUGGUGGAGCGGUGAAAUGCGUAGAUAUCAUCAGGAACACCGGUGGCGAAGGCGGCUUACUGGGUCUUUUCUGAUGCUGAGGAACGAAAGCUAGGGGAGCGAACGGG
RNAcentral lists this ribosomal RNA (253 nucleotides) under uncultured bacterium. RNAcentral's name for it is "partial 16S ribosomal RNA". It matches the Rfam family "Bacterial small subunit ribosomal RNA", at positions 524 to 776 of the family's 1533-position model. The record is from RNAcentral.